Molecule: transfer RNA, 75 nt
Filed under: Holophagaceae bacterium
Lineage: Bacteria; Pseudomonadati; Acidobacteriota; Holophagae; Holophagales; Holophagaceae
Also listed under: 6 other names
Description: tRNA-Gln
Rfam family: tRNA
About the family: Transfer RNA (tRNA) molecules are approximately 80 nucleotides in length. Their secondary structure includes four short double-helical elements and three loops (D, anti-codon, and T loops).
Source: RNAcentral
UGGGGAGUCGCCAAGUGGUAAGGCAGCAGGUUUUGAUCCUGCCUAUCGAGGGUUCGAAUCCUUCCUCCCCAACCA